RNAcentral lists this ribosomal RNA (394 nucleotides) under uncultured bacterium. RNAcentral describes it as "bacterial SSU rRNA". It matches the Rfam family "Bacterial small subunit ribosomal RNA", at positions 137 to 518 of the family's 1533-position model. The record is from RNAcentral.
CCCGGGAUAGCCCAGGGAAACCUGGAUAAUACCGGAUGAGACGGGACCCGCGAUGGCGGGACCCGGGAAAGGCGCUGCGGCGCCGCCGGGGGAUGAGUCUGCGUCCCAUUAGCUAGACGGCGGGGUAACGGCCCACCGUGGCGACGAUGGGUAGCCGGCCUGAGAGGGUGGACGGCCACAUUGGAACUGAGACACGGUCCAGACUCCUACGGGAGGCAGCAGCUAAGAAUCUUCCGCAAUGGGCGAAAGCCUGACGGAGCGACGCCCGCGUGAACGAAGAAGGCCGUGAGGUUGUAAAGUUCUUUUCGGGAGGGGGAACAACCGUGGCAGGGAAUGGCCGCGGGAUGACGUGAAUCCCGGAAUAAGCCCCGGCUAACUACGUGCCAGCAGCCGC